Molecule: long non-coding RNA, 1598 nt
Organism: Pygocentrus nattereri (red-bellied piranha)
Lineage: Eukaryota; Metazoa; Chordata; Actinopteri; Characiformes; Serrasalmidae
Source: Ensembl
AAAAUGAUAGCUGCAUCAUUCAGUUGGGGGAACAUUUGUUGAACAAAGGUGGAUCAACUGCAAAACAUGAAGCAUGCAUACGACAGAAGUUGCGAGAACUAGGAAAACUACUUAUCACUGGCAGAAACGUUGCAUCUCUAAAGACAAUGGACGAUUUUAUACAUCCUCAAAACUACAUGAAGAUGGUUCAAGCUGUCAGACAUACAUGUGGAUAUGAUAGUGAAGCCAACACAUACAAAACUCCUUCUCUAGCAAAAAAACUUGGAAUAAGCCUGAUGAAGCUCAGCAAACUCAUGAAAGCUAAAGCUUUGAUUGCGGAAGACCACUGCUUGGCACAGAAUUUCAGUAACUUCCAAGAAAUACAUAAAGAACGGUGGUGUGAACUGAUCUCUGCAACAGCAGCACGAAAUCUUGAGGAGUCAAAGUGGAAUGCCCCCACAGUGUUGCCUUUUACAGAAGAUGUGCAAAAACUUCAUGCAUUUCUCAAUAAAAUGCAAGAUGAGUUGAUCAAGCAGUUAUCAGCGGAGCCCACAUCAAAAUACUGGUCUGAGCUUGCAAAGGUCGCUUUGACUCAAAUCAUCCUCUUUAACCGUCGUAGAGAGGGAGAGGUAUCGUGUAUGCUCCUGUCUGCUUUCUUAUCCAGGGACAGCAGUGAUCCACAUGAUGAUAUAGAUUGGGCCCUCUCUGAAGUUGAGAAAAAACUCUGCAGGCACUUUUCCAGAAUUGUGAUCAGAGGAAAAAGAGGACGUCCAGUUCCCAUUCUGCUGACCCCUAAAAUGCUGAAUGCAGUAGAGUUGCUUGUGAAGAACAGGGAGACUUGUGGAGUGCUGAAAGACAAUGUUUAUCUCUUUGCCCGGCCAUCAGCAAUGUCACAUUACAGAGGAUCAGAUUGUAUCCGCAGCUUUGCGAAGUCUUGUAAUGCAAAUAGUCCUGAUGCACUGACAUCCACAAAACUGCGAAAACAUGCUGCCACUCUUUCUACAGUUCUAAACUUGAAGGACACAGACAUGGAUCAGUUAGCAAACUUCCUGGGACAUGACAUCAGAAUUCAUAGGGAGUACUAUCGCCUUCCUGAAAAGACCCUCCAACUUGCAAAAGUCAGCAAAGUUCUUAUGGCAUUAGAACAAGGGAGACUUGCGGACUUCAAGGGCAAGAAUUUGGAUGAGAUCAAUAUUGACCCAAAUGAGGAGAUGGAGCUAAUUGAUGACGAUGAAGGAAGAAGUGAGGUAGAGGAUGAAACAUAUGAAGAACUUGGAGAAGCAAUGCAAGAGGAGUCACCAGAAGCAACACAAGUACCACCACUUGACACUGCACUUAUUUCCCUACCAGAGAGGAAGAAAUCACUGAAGAUACCUUCUGUUAAAGGUAAAACACAUGCACAGAAAAGAAGAAAAGCUUGGGAAGUGAUUGAGAUCCAGGCCGUGGAAACACACCUGAAAAACUUUAUCAGUUCAUGCCGUGUCCCAGGGAAGCUACCUUGCGAACAGUGCAUAAGAGCUGAGCCUUCAGCGCUUAAAAACAGAGAUUGGCAGAGUGUCAAAUUCUAUGUUCACAAUCGCAUUGUGGCUUACAAGAAAGAUUUGAGCCACAAUGUGUAA